This 301-nucleotide ribosomal RNA is filed under the name uncultured bacterium. RNAcentral describes it as "partial 16S ribosomal RNA". It matches the Rfam family "Bacterial small subunit ribosomal RNA", at positions 509 to 807 of the family's 1533-position model. The record is from RNAcentral.
CAGCCGCCGCGGGAAUACGUAGGGUGCGAGCGUUAAUCGGAAUUACUGGGCGUAAAGCGUGCGCAGGCGGUUUUGUAAGACAGGCGUGAAAUCCCCGGGCUCAACCUGGGAAUGGCGCUUGUGACUGCAAAGCUAGAGUGCGGCAGAGGGGGAUGGAAUUCCGCGUGUAGCAGUGAAAUGCGUAGAGAUGUGGAGGAACACCGAUGGCGAAGGCAGCCCCCUGGGCCAAUACUGACGCCCAUGCACGAAAGCGUGGGGAGCAAACAGGAUUAGAUACCCCAGUAGUCCCUGUCUCUUAUAC